Pelobates cultripes (western spadefoot toad) is the source of this 1048-nucleotide non-coding RNA. The record is from the annotation of a GenBank genome assembly. NCBI's taxonomy places the organism in Eukaryota, Metazoa, Chordata, Amphibia, Anura, Pelobatidae.
GAAAGCCUCAGACCGUACGACGUGAUGGACGUGAUCGAACAGUACUCGGCCGGACACCUGGAUAUGCUCGCCCGGAUCAAAAACCUGCAGUCAAGGCAAGCCAUCAAUGCACACCACUUUUUAGACGUAUACACACAAACACACAGUAUUUCAUGCGGACAACCUGCUCCAAUGGUUCUACAAUUGUUACAAUUGAUUAGCUGUCUAAUGGCCACAUUUGCUGGGUGACUGCAUUGUGUGCCAGGUCAAUGCACACAGGAUUUAAAACUGAAAUACAGUGAGGCAUAUUUGGACUGAAUAUUCCUGUAGCCCAGAGUCCAUCAUGCUUUGCUGUACUUUAGUGACGGUGUGCACCAGACAGUAGACCAAUAAACAUUACUGGUGCAGCUAUAUCUGCAGACUGGAUGAGUCCUUGGCGUUGUUCUUGUGUCUCAGUGUGUGGCAGUGUGUCCCGGGUGCGUGGAAACAUAUAUUGACAUUGUGUCUCAGGUUGGAAAACGGUGAAGGGGAUUUCCUGUAUCAAUUCAUAAAGGGUGUGAAUUGUGACUGGGUUUUUAAUAACAAAAGAAGGGUGCAAUCCUCACAUGAAGUCACUAGCGACAAAUCAGCAGGUAGAGGCAGCAACAAGGACAGUCAAGACAGCCAAUGCUAGUAGCUUAGCCAGGUAGUAAGUACUGCAGCCUGUAAAAUUAGUGUGGAUGGCAUGGGCUCUGUAUGGGUGAGGGUCAGAACAGAGCAUGAAAUAUGGUCAAAGCAGAAGAGGAGAGUCAGAGCAUUGGGUUGGUCAGUACAGGGGUUAGGAUUGGAGAAUGGGAUAGGUCAGUGCCAGGGGGUAUGAUCGGAGCAUUGGGUAGGUCUGUGCAGGGUAGGAUUGGAAGACUGGGUUGGUCAGUGCCAGGCGGUAUGAUCGAAACAUUGGGUAGGUAAUUGCAAGAAUAGGAUCGGAAGUUUGGGUAGGACUGUGCAUGGGGUAGGUCAGUGCAGGGUGUUUGGGUAGGUCUGUGCAUGGGGUAGGUCAGUGCAGGGUGUAUUCAGCAGUUUGGGUAGG